Long non-coding RNA from Dreissena polymorpha, 404 nucleotides. RefSeq lists it as uncharacterized. Lineage: Eukaryota; Metazoa; Mollusca; Bivalvia; Myida; Dreissenidae. The transcript has 3 exons. The record is from RefSeq and is a predicted model, not a curated record.
CGUAUGAUAACUCAAGAACGCAUACGCCUAGGAUCAUGAAACUUCAUAGGUAGAUUGAUCAUGACUUGCAGAUGACCCCUAUUGUUUUUGAGGUCACUAGGUCAAAGGUCAAGGUCACGGUGACCUGAAAUAGUAAAAUGGUUUUCGGAUGAUAACUCAAGAACGCUUUUGCCUAGGAUCAUGAAACUUCAUAGGUAGAUUGAUCAUGACUCGCAGAUGACCCCUAUUGAUUUUGAGGUCACUAGGUCAAAGGUCAAGGUCACAGUGACAAAAAUCGUGCUCACACAAUGGCUGCCACUACAAUGGACAGCCCAUAUGGGGGGCAUGCAUGUUUUACAAACAGCCCUUGUUAAAUGAUCAUUUUGAACGUGCAAAUAAAACAGUUUGGUUAUCCAUAAACACUG